Molecule: long non-coding RNA, 797 nt
Organism: Triticum aestivum (bread wheat)
Lineage: Eukaryota; Viridiplantae; Streptophyta; Magnoliopsida; Poales; Poaceae
Exons: 2
Source: RefSeq, a predicted model, not a curated record
CGGAAGGGUUUUCAGGGGAAUAACCCCGCGAGGCCCAGAAUCCUCCCAAAACCCCGUCGGCCUGUUUGGUACGCGGGGUUACAUGGGCCCAAUCCUCUCGAUUCCCCCUCGAUCCACUUCUUCCCACGCGUUUCAGAACCCUCGAGGCCCCCCUCGGGCCUCAUUUGGCGCGAGUGGGUUGACGGGGUUUCGAGAGGAUUUUCCUCGCGAGGGCCAGAAACCCCCAGAAACCACGUUGGCCCAUUUAGUACAGGGGGUUUGUAUGGGCCAAUCCUCUCUAAUCCACGCGAAACCACGCGAAACCACGCGGCUCGAAACCCUCGUCCAGCGACUCAGGGAAUCGCUCGUCCCCGCACGCCGCCAGCGAGAGGAAGAGACGACGCCGCCGCCACCACCGAGGGGAAGAGCCCCGCCUCCGCCACCGAGGGGAAGAGCCCCGCCGGCGAGAGGAGGAGCCCCCACGCCGCCGCCCGACUCUGCCCGACGCCGGCGUUACUCCUCCAGCGUACUGGCCUUCUCCCCGGUGGGACCUGAUCUCGCGGAAGACGGGUGACCACUUUGCUGCCACAAGUCUCCUUCACACCGUGUAGCCCGCAAACAUGUCUCGGAGCAUUUGCCGAUCAAAUUUAUGUUGUAAUGAACCAUUGACUUUCGUUGAUUGAACAUCUUGUAUUUUUCAUUUGGACCGUGGCAUGUAUGCAUGUAACAUUUCAUUUGAACAGUUGAUAGUACAUGCAACAGAUUAUACAAGCCUUUUUGUUAUUUUGCAUAAUCUAGUUGCACCAUUGUUGCAAGUA